UAGGCUUUAAUUUUUUCGAGGUUUUGCUUGCACUGUGUGAUAAGUGUGCUUGUUAAAGUUUUAUUGAAGCCGAGAAUUGUGUUCCCCUCGCUAUCCUGUGCUUCAAUUUGUAUGCUGUAUUAGGACGUCGGGGUACAAAAUUA
This is a small nucleolar RNA of Lupinus angustifolius (narrow-leaved blue lupine), 143 nucleotides long. It matches the Rfam family "Small nucleolar RNA snoR136". The record is from Rfam. NCBI's taxonomy places the organism in Eukaryota, Viridiplantae, Streptophyta, Magnoliopsida, Fabales, Fabaceae.